RNAcentral lists this long non-coding RNA (662 nucleotides) under Bos indicus x Bos taurus (hybrid cattle). Its description in RNAcentral is "lncRNA (ENSBIXG00005012912.1)". Lineage: Eukaryota; Metazoa; Chordata; Mammalia; Artiodactyla; Bovidae. The record is from RNAcentral.
CGUCUCCCCAGGGCCCCUCCUGGCCGGGCAGCCGGGUGGGGCAGCAGGAUGGGCUGGACCCUGAAGGGCAUGGUGCCUCCAGAAGCUCCAGCUUCAGCCCCAGGACUCCUCCGAGCUGCCACCCGCCCUCCCAGCCCUCCCGACCAGGGUCUGAAGGGAUAGCGAAUUGCUGCAGCCUGGUCUGUGGGUAAUCUGCUCCUUUGUGGAAGUGCUGUGGCUCUUAAAAGCCCCGGUGAAUGCCCUUAAGGGAACGCGAUAACGCUGACGGGGAAAAUCGAGAGCCCCGUUCUCCUCCCAGGUCUGCGUUUGCGCAAGCGCGUGCGGCGCCGGGCAGUGUGGAUGUCCCGGAAGUCUUCCGCUCAGUCCGCCGCUGGACGCAGCUCGGCCCGCGGGCUGGAGGGUCGGUCCCACGGAGCACGCCGAGGCCCAGGGGACAGCGGGCCCGGGGUGCCCUUCCCUGCGGCGCCUGGUUGGGGCAGACCCGGGGGCGCCCGUCCCUCUGCCCACUUAGGUUCUUUCUGCUCUGUGAUAACGCCCUCCCCCGAUGGAUGAGAAAACCAGCUGGAAGCUCAGUGUCUUCUGGCCCAGAUGGAUGUGAGGAGGAUGUGCACUCUACUGUUGCGUGGAAUGUUCCAGACAUGUCCUUGGAGAAAGUCAACUGA